UUCCAGACUCCACGGGAGGCAGCAGUGGGGAAUAUUGGGCAAUGGGCGCAAGCCUGACCCAGCAACGCCGCGUGAAGGAAGAAGGCUUUCGGGUUGUAAACUUCUUUUGACAGGGAAGAGCAGAAGACGGUACCUGUCGAAUAAGCUCCGGCUAACUACGUGCCAGCAGCCGCGGUAAUACGUAGGGAGCAAGCGUUAUCCGGAUUUAUUGGGUGUAAAGGGUGCGUAGACGGGCUAACAAGUUAGUUGUGAAAUCCCUCGGCUCAACUGAGGAACUGCAACUAAAACUAUUAGUCUCUGAGUGCGGGAGAGGAAAGUGGAAUUCCUAGUGUAGCGGUGAAAUGCGUAGAUAUUAGGAGGAACACCAGUGGCGAAGGCGACUUUCUGGACCGUAACUGACGUUGAGGCACGAAAGUGUGGGGAGCAAACAGGAUUAGAUACCCCUGUAG
RNAcentral lists this ribosomal RNA (449 nucleotides) under uncultured bacterium. Its description in RNAcentral is "bacterial SSU rRNA". It matches the Rfam family "Bacterial small subunit ribosomal RNA", at positions 329 to 793 of the family's 1533-position model. The record is from RNAcentral.